CAAUAGCGUAUAUUAAAGCUGUUGCGGUUAAAAAGCUCGUAGUUGGAUUUCUGUCAGGGACAACUGGUCCGCCCUCCGGGUGAGCACAUAGUUUGGUCUUGGCAUCUUGCUGGAAACUGUUGCUGCGCUUGGUUGUGUGGUGCAGCUUUCAGCACUUUCACUUUGAGGAAAUUGGAGUGUUUCAAGCAGGCACAUGCCUUUGGACACAGUAGCAUGGAAUAAUUAGAUUGGGCUUUUGCUCCAACUUGUUGGUUCCUGGAGCUGAGGUGAGAAUCAAUGGGGAUUGUUGGGGGCAUCCGAAUUUAGCCGUCAGAGGUGAAAUUCUUGGAUCUGCUAAAGACGGACAACUGCGAAAGCGUUUGCCCAGGAUGUUUUCAUUGA
RNAcentral lists this ribosomal RNA (381 nucleotides) under uncultured eukaryote. Its description in RNAcentral is "partial 18S ribosomal RNA". It matches the Rfam family "Eukaryotic small subunit ribosomal RNA", at positions 592 to 976 of the family's 1831-position model. The record is from RNAcentral.